Small nuclear RNA from Carassius auratus (goldfish), 55 nucleotides. Its record names the gene U7. It matches the Rfam family "U7 small nuclear RNA". Rfam says of the family: Animal histone pre-mRNAs are spliced by a different mechanism than nuclear pre-mRNAs and self-splicing introns. This processing involves the U7 snRNP, which contains only one RNA species: U7. NCBI's taxonomy places the organism in Eukaryota, Metazoa, Chordata, Actinopteri, Cypriniformes, Cyprinidae. The record is from Ensembl.
CAGAAAUUUGCUCUUUAGUAUUUGUCCAGUUGGUUUCCUUUAAAGGGAAAUCUCU